AACGAACGCAUGGCACGGCGUGCUUAACACAUGCAAGUCGCGUAAGCGCAGUUUCCGUAGCAAUACGGGGAUGGGCGCACGGCGCACGGAGUGACGUAACACGUGGGCAAUCUGCCCUCCGAUGGGGAAUACCCCCGCGAAAGCGGGACUAAUUCCGCAUAAACAUAUCACUUGGAUUAACUUUCGAGGAUUCAAAGCAAGACAAUGCGUCGGAGGAGGAGCCCGCGCCCCGAUUAGCUAGUUGGUGAGGUAACGGCUCCACCAAGGCAAUGAUCGGUAGCUGGUCUGAGAGGAUGGCCAGCCACACUGGAACUGAGACACGCCGUCACAGACUCCUACGGGAGAGCAGCAGUGGGGAAUCUUGCACAAUGGGCGAAAGCCUAGAAUGCAGCGACGCCACGCGUGGGGGAUGAAGCUUAUUCGGAGUGUAAACCCCUUUCGACUGGGACGAAUGCACUCGCAAGACAAGGAGUGACGGUACCAGUAUAAGAAGCCCACGGCUAACUACGUGCCAGCAGAGGCUCGUGGAAUUGCAGGUGUCAGCGGAAUGAAAUGCGUAGAUAUCUGCAGGAACACCCGUGGCGAAAGCGGCGAGCUGGAUCACUACUGAAACGCCCCUGAGGAACGAAAGCUAGGGGAGCAAACAGGAUUAGAUACCCUGGUAGUCCUAGCCCUAAACGAUCAGGACUUGGAGGUAGCCGCCCGCUUCGGGCGUCGUCCCGGAGCUAACGCGUUAAGUCCUGCACCUGGGGAGUACGAGUCGCCAAGACUGAAACUCCCCAGGAAUUGACGGGGGCAACCGCACAAGCGGUGGAACAUGUGGUUCAAUUCGACGACUACGCGAGGAACCUCUACCUGAAGGCUCGAAAUGCUAGUGACCAGCUUUAG
RNAcentral lists this ribosomal RNA (888 nucleotides) under uncultured Rhodothermus sp. RNAcentral describes it as "bacterial SSU rRNA". It matches the Rfam family "Bacterial small subunit ribosomal RNA", at positions 17 to 1005 of the family's 1533-position model. Lineage: Bacteria; Pseudomonadati; Rhodothermota; Rhodothermia; Rhodothermales; Rhodothermaceae. The record is from RNAcentral.